GGGUUGUGAGGUUAAGCGACUAAGCGUACACGGUGGAUGCCCUGGCAGUCAGAGGCGAUGAAGGACGUGCUAAUCUGCGAAAAGCGCCGGCGAGGUGAUAUGAACCUUUGACCCGGCGAUGUCCGAAUGGGGAAACCCAGUGCAAUUCGUUGCACUAUCGUUAACUGAAUACAUAGGUUAACGAGGCGAACCGGGGGAACUGAAACAUCUAAGUACCCCGAGGAAAAGAAAUCAACCGAGAUUCCCCCAGUAGCGGCGAGCGAACGGGGAGCAGCCCAGAGUCUGAAUCAGCUUAUGUGUUAGUGGAAGCGUCUGGAAAGUCGCACGGUACAGGGUGACAGUCCCGUACACGAAAGCACACAGGUUGUGAACUCGAAGAGUAGGGCGGGACACGUGGUAUCCUGUCUGAAUAUGGGGGGACCAUCCUCCAAGGCUAAAUACUCCUGACUGACCGAUAGUGAACCAGUACCGUGAGGGAAAGGCGAAAAGAACCCCGGCGAGGGGAGUGAAAAAGAACCUGAAACCGUGUACGUACAAGCAGUGGGAGCACCUUCGUGGUGUGACUGCGUACCUUUUGUAUAAUGGGUCAGCGACUUAUAUUCUGUAGCAAGGUUAACCGUAUAGGGGAGCCGAAGGGAAACCGAGUCUUAACUGGGCGUUAAGUUGCAGGGUAUAGACCCGAAACCCGGUGAUCUAGCCAUGGGCAGGUUGAAGGUUGGGUAACACUAACUGGAGGACCGAACCGACUAAUGUUGAAAAAUUAGCGGAUGACUUGUGGCUGGGGGUGAAAGGCCAAUCAAACCGGGAGAUAGCUGGUUCUCCCCGAAAGCUAUUUAGGUAGCGCCUCGUGAACUCAUCUUCGGGGGUAGAGCACUGUUUCGGCUAGGGGGCCAUCCCGGCUUACCAACCCGAUGCAAACUACGAAUACCGAAGAAUGUUAUCACGGGAGACACACGGCGGGUGCUAACGUCCGUCGUGAAGAGGGAAACAACCCAGACCGCCAGCUAAGGUCCCAAAGUCAUGGUUAAGUGGGAAACGAUGUGGGAAGGCACAGACAGCCAGGAUGUUGGCUUAGAAGCAGCCAUCAUUUAAAGAAAGCGUAAUAGCUCACUGGUCGAGUCGGCCUGCGCGGAAGAUGUAACGGGGCUAAACCAUGCACCGAAGCUGCGGCAGCGACGCUUAUGCGUUGUUGGGUAGGGGAGCGUUCUGUAAGCCGUUGAAGGUGUCCUGUGAGGGGGGCUGGAGGUAUCAGAAGUGCGAAUGCUGACAUAAGUAACGAUAAAGCGGGUGAAAAGCCCGCUCGCCGGAAGACCAAGGGUUCCUGUCCAACGUUAAUCGGGGCAGGGUGAGUCGACCCCUAAGGCGAGGCCGAAAGGCGUAGUCGAUGGGAAACAGGUUAAUAUUCCUGUACUUGGUGUUACUGCGAAGGGGGGACGGAGAAGGCUAUGUUAGCCGGGCGACGGUUGUCCCGGUUUAAGCAUGUAGGCGGAGGUUCCAGGUAAAUCCGGUACCUUUUAACGCUGAGGUGUGAUGACGAGGCACUACGGUGCUGAAGUAACAAAUGCCCUGCUUCCAGGAAAAGCCUCUAAGCAUCAGGUAACACGAAAUCGUACCCCAAACCGACACAGGUGGUCAGGUAGAGAAUACCAAGGCGCUUGAGAGAACUCGGGUGAAGGAACUAGGCAAAAUGGUGCCGUAACUUCGGGAGAAGGCACGCUGAUAUGUAGGUGAAGCCCCUGCGGGUGGAGCUGAAAUCAGUCGAAGAUACCAGCUGGCUGCAACUGUUUAUUAAAAACACAGCACUGUGCAAACACGAAAGUGGACGUAUACGGUGUGACGCCUGCCCGGUGCCGGAAGGUUAAUUGAUGGGGUUAGCGGCAACGCGAAGCUCUUGAUCGAAGCCCCGGUAAACGGCGGCCGUAACUAUAACGGUCCUAAGGUAGCGAAAUUCCUUGUCGGGUAAGUUCCGACCUGCACGAAUGGCGUAAUGAUGGCCAGGCUGUCUCCACCCGAGACUCAGUGAAAUUGAACUCGCUGUGAAGAUGCAGUGUACCCGCGGCAAGACGGAAAGACCCCGUGAACCUUUACUAUAGCUUGACACUGAACACUGGUCCUUGAUGUGUAGGAUAGGUGGGAGGCUUUGAAGCGUGGACGCCAGUCUGCGUGGAGCCAUCCUUGAAAUACCACCCUUUAAUGGCUGGUGUUCUAACGUAGACCCGUGAUCCGGGUUGCGGACAGUGUCUGGUGGGUAGUUUGACUGGGGCGGUCUCCUCCCAAAGAGUAACGGAGGAGCACGAAGGUUAGCUAAUCCUGGUCGGACAUCAGGAGGUUAGUGCAAUGGCAUAAGCUAGCUUGACUGCGAGAGUGACGGCUCGAGCAGGUGCGAAAGCAGGUCAUAGUGAUCCGGUGGUUCUGAAUGGAAGGGCCAUCGCUCAACGGAUAAAAGGUACUCCGGGGAUAACAGGCUGAUACCGCCCAAGAGUUCAUAUCGACGGCGGUGUUUGGCACCUCGAUGUCGGCUCAUCACAUCCUGGGGCUGAAGUAGGUCCCAAGGGUAUGGCUGUUCGCCAUUUAAAGUGGUACGCGAGCUGGGUUUAGAACGUCGUGAGACAGUUCGGUCCCUAUCUGCCGUGGGCGCUGGAGAAUUGAGGGGGGCUGCUCCUAGUACGAGAGGACCGGAGUGGACGCAUCACUGGUGUUCGGGUUGUCAUGCCAAUGGCACUGCCCGGUAGCUAAAUGCGGAAAAGAUAAGUGCUGAAAGCAUCUAAGCACGAAACUUGCCCCGAGAUGAGUUCUCCCUGACCCUUUAAGGGUCCUGAAGGAACGUUGAAGACGACGACGUUGAUAGGUCGGGUGUGUAAGCGCAGCGAUGCGUUGAGCUAACCGAUACUAAUGAACCGUGAGGCUUAACCUUACAACGCCGAAGCUGUU
This 2931-nucleotide ribosomal RNA is filed under the name Enterobacter asburiae. Its description in RNAcentral is "bacterial LSU rRNA". It matches the Rfam family "Bacterial large subunit ribosomal RNA". The record is from RNAcentral. Lineage: Bacteria; Pseudomonadati; Pseudomonadota; Gammaproteobacteria; Enterobacterales; Enterobacteriaceae.